UGCUUAUAGUUGUGCAGAUCUGGACUGAGGUUUUGCUCUUUGAGUGUAGAGUUUCAGUAACUGUGUGUUAUUUUUAAUUUUAGUGUGUAAGCAAUCGUAAAAACUGUAAAUCCCUGAAGAAGGGGUGAUUUACAAAAAAAAAAAAAAAAAAAUGUUGGUCAUGCUGUCAAGAGAGGGGAUUGUGAAUUAUUCAACAUCUCUCUGCCAAUUAGGUUUUGAAUAACUGUGUGUAUGUGAUAUCUCCAAAAACAGAAUAUCAUGGCAAAGGUGUUUGCUACAUGAGACAAAUGUGUAGCCACGCCCACACUGACGACGGACAAGCGAGUAGACACGUGUAGACACGCCCACGCCAUUUGUGACGGUAAAUGUGAGUUCGUAGAGUUGUUUUAAAAACCAUGUUUGCCAGAACAUAACCACAAAUUUUAUUCUAUUUUGUAUCAACUAUUUUCUAGCCCGACGUUGUUUCGAGUCGUUUAUUCCCGCUCGUGCUCCAUUCAAAUCUUGCGCGCGCUGACAGCAUUCGGUAUUUUCUGAGAGAUUUACAUCAGACGAAGGGAAGGUAAGUGCAGAUUCACAAAAUCAUUGUAAAUAACAUGUUUACAUAAAACAACACCAGAGGUUGUUCAAUGUUAUGUCGUUAUUUUCUGAUUGUGAACCGCAUUUUCUUUAUUACUCGCGCUGAUGUCUUGUUUUUUUUUUUUUUUAAACGUUAUUUCUUAGGAAAACUGUGUGUAACUUAGUGUUUUGAAAGCAUGGCCAAAUUCUUGACAAAUCUGUCCUAGCGAUUAUUACAAAAACUGUAAGACCAGAAACUUGAGUUUUAUUUGUGUAGAUAUACAGAGCCCCAUGGUUCAAAAACACUGUAGUAUACAAAUUACUAUAGUAUUUUUUCAUAUCGUGCGCAUGAUUGAGCAAAUCGAGGGAACGAAAUAGUAAAUCGUGCUCGAUUCAUGUGUGGGUGUUUGUGUAGAUGUAAUGAAUGCAGCUUCACACUCAUUUAUACUUCUGCCAUAAAGCAGCUGUGUGGCCGUCUUCUCGUUCACACACGUGUUCUCUGAAGAACACAGUUAAUAAUUUAAUAAUAAAAACUGUUGUUGCAAAUUGAAAACAGGUGCCAGGAAGAUGGAUUUGUCUUGGACCGGAGCAGAGAUGUGCCAGGUACCUGAACAUCGCUGCUAUGGGCUCUGUCCCUGAUGAGCCAGGAGGCUUGUGGGCUUAUAUUUAUGCCAAUCAUUUUAUUAGUCCGACAGCAUCACAUGUGGAGGACAACACCAAGCCGAUCGAUCAUGAGGUGGUCUGUCUAUUCCACGUGUGCGGAGUUCUUGAGCCAUGAGAGAGAGAGAACGAGCCGUCUGAACCAGCCACUGCUGCUUCAAGGCACUGAUCAUGUCGAUAACCAGAAUGGGACUGUAACAGCUCUGUGAUGCCUUGAUUAUGUCAGUAUCUUGUCCAGAAAUGUCAAUAGUGAUGCAUUGUACAGAUGGUUCUUCGCUGCAUCUUGGACAGGGCCAAACUCUGACGACACAUGCGACAUGUGAUCCAGUGACCGAACAGAGUCGAACCAGGAGGCAGCAGCUAUUGUCCGUGUUAUAUCUGUUCAGUCAUGUUUCUAUUUGGCUCUUUGGCAUGGCUAACAUACCUUGAAGCAGCAGUAUCGUUCAGACGGCUCGUUCUCUCUGUGAUUCGUGGCUCAAGUUCUCCGCACUCUUGGAUUUCUCAGCAGUCUUGUUGCCCUCUUCGCUGGUGAUGUUUGGGACAUUGUAGCUCCAGUGCACUCACUUGUGAUUGAGUUUGUCCUGAUUGUUUCAGGUGAAUGCAGCGGCACCGGCAUGAGUAAAGAAGUGCAUAUGCUACUUCCAGAUCAACCAGGUAGCCCCGGAUGGAGAACUGUGACACGCUGGCUUCCUACACGCGGGUCUCGCUCUGCUCGGGCCCGAGGCUCAUAUCAUCAUCAUCAUCAUCAUCAUUAUUAACACAAGAUUUUCUUUACAGACUCUCCUCUUGCCAGGACGAUGAUCAAGAGAGCGGUCAGACCAACAGAUUGGCAACAUACCAGACCGGGCAAUCUGGACUUGCCAAUCCCAGGUGAUCCAAGAGGGCUCAACGAGAUGUGCUCCAGGCUGCACCCAAUCUGCCUGAAGAAGAGCAGACCAGGCCGGUUCUGGCGCUCUCAGAGGAGCUGAACAGGGGUGUUCUGUGUCAGAUUGUGACCUGUUUGAGUGGCACAGCUCCACACCAUAGGACAUGUAGGACAGAUAUGCUGUCUGGGCAACCAGACAGUCACUCUGGAGGAAGCGAAGGCGGCAGCUUCUGCUCACGCUCCGUGGGGUAUUUAGCAAAGCCAUAGUACAGAGGGGCUUCUUUCUCCAGUGGAGAGAGAAGCCCUAGAAGAGCAGCACACUGCGUUUGUUUUAUUUAGGUUGCUGUUGCUUUGGUUUUGUUGUGUGUAUAUAGUUGGUUUCACGUUGUUUUAUGCUUUCAUGUAACUUUUAAUCUUGUUAAUUUCUAGUUUUCCCCAUGUUUCCUAAGAGUUUUUAUUGUUAUUUGGUUGUUAAUUAGUAUUGAUUGAUUUGUGUGUUCUUGUUUGUUCAAUAGUUUACUUUCUUUUAUUGUUCAUGUUUUAUGCUGUGCUUUGUAUAUAGUUCUUUUUUUAAAAUAAUAAAUAAUCUCCCUUAA
Long non-coding RNA from Ctenopharyngodon idella (grass carp), 2676 nucleotides. RefSeq lists it as uncharacterized. The record is from RefSeq and is a predicted model, not a curated record. The transcript has 4 exons. Lineage: Eukaryota; Metazoa; Chordata; Actinopteri; Cypriniformes; Xenocyprididae.